GUAUAAUACCAGUUCUCAUAUGAUCACCAAAGUUAAGCAACAUUGAGCCUGGUCAGUAUCUAGAUGGGUGACUACUUGGGAAUACCAGAUGUUGCAAG
This is a non-coding RNA of Acanthosepion pharaonis, 98 nucleotides long. Lineage: Eukaryota; Metazoa; Mollusca; Cephalopoda; Sepiida; Sepiidae. The record is from the annotation of a GenBank genome assembly.